AACGAACGCUGGCGGCAUGCCUAACACAUGCAAGUCGAACGAGACCUUCGGGUCUAGUGGCGCACGGGUGCGUAACGCGUGGGAACCUGCACUUAGGUUCGGAAUAACUCCCCGAAAGGGGUGCUAAUACCGGAUAAUGUCUUCGGACCAAAGAUUUAUCGCCUUUGGAUGGGCCCGGGUUGGAUUAGCUAGUUGGUAGGGUAAAAGCCUACCAAGGCGACGAUCCAUAGCUGGUCUGGGAGGAUGAUCCGCCGCACUGGGACUGCGACACGGCCCAGACUCCUACGGGAGGCAGCAGUGGAGAAUAUUGGACAAUGGGCCAAAGCCUGAUCCAGCAAUGCCGCGUGAGUGAGGAAGGCCUUAGGGUUGUAAAGCUCUUUUACCCGGGAUGAUAAUGACAGUACCGGGAGAAUAAGCUCCGGCUAACUCCGUG
Molecule: ribosomal RNA, 433 nt
Filed under: uncultured bacterium
Lineage: Bacteria
Description: partial 16S ribosomal RNA
Rfam family: Bacterial small subunit ribosomal RNA
Source: RNAcentral